RNAcentral lists this ribosomal RNA (253 nucleotides) under uncultured bacterium. Its description in RNAcentral is "partial 16S ribosomal RNA". It matches the Rfam family "Bacterial small subunit ribosomal RNA", at positions 524 to 776 of the family's 1533-position model. The record is from RNAcentral.
UACGUAGGUGGCAAGCGUUGUCCGGAUUUACUGGGCGUAAAGGGCGUGCAGGCGGUCUGUUAAGUCUAGGGUGAAAGCUCCCGGCUCAACUGGGAGAGGUCCUUGGAUACUGGCGGACUUGAGGGAGGCAGAGGAAAGUGGAAUUCCCGGUGUAGUGGUGAUAUGCGUAGAUAUCUGGAGGAACACCGGUGGCGAAGGCGGCGUCCUGGACCAACACUGACACUGAUGAGCGAAAGCCAGGGGAGCAAACGGG